Molecule: non-coding RNA, 25 nt
Filed under: Mus musculus (house mouse)
Lineage: Eukaryota; Metazoa; Chordata; Mammalia; Rodentia; Muridae
Source: RNAcentral
UAAUGUAUAGUCUUACAGAAGAGCC